RNAcentral lists this transfer RNA (69 nucleotides) under Engaeus lyelli. Its description in RNAcentral is "tRNA-Ser". Lineage: Eukaryota; Metazoa; Arthropoda; Malacostraca; Decapoda; Parastacidae. The record is from RNAcentral.
UGACAACUUAGUUUAUAAAAAUAAAUACCUUGAAAGUAUAAGUGAGAGAAUACUCCUUCUCUAGUAGUC